RNAcentral lists this ribosomal RNA (397 nucleotides) under uncultured bacterium. Its description in RNAcentral is "partial 16S ribosomal RNA". It matches the Rfam family "Bacterial small subunit ribosomal RNA", at positions 523 to 918 of the family's 1533-position model. The record is from RNAcentral.
AUACGUAGGUGACAAGCGUUAUCCGGAUUUACUGGGCGUAAAGGGCGUGUAGGCGGCGGUGUAAGUCUGGAGUGAAAGUCCCGCAUUCAAUGUGGGAAUUGCUUUGGAUACUGCAGUGCUAGAGUGCGGAAGAGGUAAGUGGAAUUCCCAGUGUAGCGGUGAAAUGCGUAGAGAUUGGGAGGAACACCAGUGGCGAAGGCGACUUACUGGGCCGUAACUGACGCUGAGGCGCGAAAGCGUGGGGAGCGAACAGGAUUAGAUACCCUGGUAGUCCACGCGGUAAACGAUGAAUGCUAGGUGUUGCGGGUAUCGACCCCUGCAGUGCCGGAGUAAACACAAUAAGCAUUCCGCCUGGGGAGUACGGCCGCAAGGUUGAAACUCAAAUGAAUUGACGGGG